GGGUUGUGAGGUUAAGCGACUAAGCGUACACGGUGGAUGCCCUGGCAGUCAGAGGCGAUGAAGGACGUGCUAAUCUGCGAAAAGCGCCGGCGAGGUGAUAUGAACCUUUGACCCGGCGAUGUCCGAAUGGGGAAACCCAGUGCAAUCCGUUGCACUAUCGUUAACUGAAUACAUAGGUUAACGAGGCGAACCGGGGGAACUGAAACAUCUAAGUACCCCGAGGAAAAGAAAUCAACCGAGAUUCCCCCAGUAGCGGCGAGCGAACGGGGAGCAGCCCGGAGUCUGAAUCAGCUUGUGUGUUAGUGGAACGGUCUGGAAAGUCCGACGGUACAGGGUGAUAGUCCCGUACACGAAAGCACACAUGCUGUGAACUCGAAGAGUAGGGCGGGACACGUGGUAUCCUGUCUGAAUAUGGGGGGACCAUCCUCCAAGGCUAAAUACUCCUGACUGACCGAUAGUGAACCAGUACCGUGAGGGAAAGGCGAAAAGAACCCCGGCGAGGGGAGUGAAAAAGAACCUGAAACCGUGUACGUACAAGCAGUGGGAGCCUCUUUAUGGGGUGACUGCGUACCUUUUGUAUAAUGGGUCAGCGACUUAUAUUCUGUAGCAAGGUUAACCGUAUAGGGGAGCCGAAGGGAAACCGAGUCUUAACUGGGCGUUAAGUUGCAGGGUAUAGACCCGAAACCCGGUGAUCUAGCCAUGGGCAGGUUGAAGGUUGGGUAACACUAACUGGAGGACCGAACCGACUAAUGUUGAAAAAUUAGCGGAUGACCUGUGGCUGGGGGUGAAAGGCCAAUCAAACCGGGAGAUAGCUGGUUCUCCCCGAAAGCUAUUUAGGUAGCGCCUCGUGAACUCAUCUUCGGGGGUAGAGCACUGUUUCGGCUAGGGGGCCAUCCCGGCUUACCAACCCGAUGCAAACUACGAAUACCGAAGAAUGUUAUCACGGGAGACACACGGCGGGUGCUAACGUCCGUCGUGAAGAGGGAAACAACCCAGACCGCCAGCUAAGGUCCCAAAGUCAUGGUUAAGUGGGAAACGAUGUGGGAAGGCACAGACAGCCAGGAUGUUGGCUUAGAAGCAGCCAUCAUUUAAAGAAAGCGUAAUAGCUCACUGGUCGAGUCGGCCUGCGCGGAAGAUGUAACGGGGCUAAACCAUGCACCGAAGCUGCGGCAGCGACGCUUAGGCGUUGUUGGGUAGGGGAGCGUUCUGUAAGCCGUUGAAGGUGUCCUGUGAGGGGUGCUGGAGGUAUCAGAAGUGCGAAUGCUGACAUAAGUAACGAUAAAGCGGGUGAAAAGCCCGCUCGCCGGAAGACCAAGGGUUCCUGUCCAACGUUAAUCGGGGCAGGGUGAGUCGACCCCUAAGGCGAGGCCGAAAGGCGUAGUCGAUGGGAAACAGGUUAAUAUUCCUGUACUUGGUGUUACUGCGAAGGGGGGACGGAGAAGGCUAUGUCAGCCGGGCGACGGUUGUCCCGGUUUAAGCAUGUAGGCGGAGGUUCCAGGUAAAUCCGGUACCUUAUUAACGCUGAGGUGUGAUGACGAGGCACUACGGUGCUGAAGUGAUAAAUGCCCUGCUUCCAGGAAAAGCCUCUAAGCAUCAGGUAACACGAAAUCGUACCCCAAACCGACACAGGUGGUCAGGUAGAGAAUACCAAGGCGCUUGAGAGAACUCGGGUGAAGGAACUAGGCAAAAUGGUGCCGUAACUUCGGGAGAAGGCACGCUGAUAUGUAGGUGAAGCCCCUGCGGGCGGAGCUGAAAUCAGUCGAAGAUACCAGCUGGCUGCAACUGUUUAUUAAAAACACAGCACUGUGCAAACACGAAAGUGGACGUAUACGGUGUGACGCCUGCCCGGUGCCGGAAGGUUAAUUGAUGGGGUUAGCGGCAACGCGAAGCUCUUGAUCGAAGCCCCGGUAAACGGCGGCCGUAACUAUAACGGUCCUAAGGUAGCGAAAUUCCUUGUCGGGUAAGUUCCGACCUGCACGAAUGGCGUAAUGAUGGCCAGGCUGUCUCCACCCGAGACUCAGUGAAAUUGAACUCGCUGUGAAGAUGCAGUGUACCCGCGGCAAGACGGAAAGACCCCGUGAACCUUUACUAUAGCUUGACACUGAACACUGGUCCUUGAUGUGUAGGAUAGGUGGGAGGCUUUGAAGCGUGGACGCCAGUCUGCGUGGAGCCAACCUUGAAAUACCACCCUUUAAUGGCUGGUGUUCUAACGUAGACCCGUAAUCCGGGUUGCGGACAGUGUCUGGUGGGUAGUUUGACUGGGGCGGUCUCCUCCCAAAGAGUAACGGAGGAGCACGAAGGUUGGCUAAUCCUGGUCGGACAUCAGGAGGUUAGUGCAAUGGCAUAAGCCAGCUUGACUGCGAGCGUGACGGCGCGAGCAGGUGCGAAAGCAGGUCAUAGUGAUCCGGUGGUUCUGAAUGGAAGGGCCAUCGCUCAACGGAUAAAAGGUACUCCGGGGAUAACAGGCUGAUACCGCCCAAGAGUUCAUAUCGACGGCGGUGUUUGGCACCUCGAUGUCGGCUCAUCACAUCCUGGGGCUGAAGUAGGUCCCAAGGGUAUGGCUGUUCGCCAUUUAAAGUGGUACGCGAGCUGGGUUUAGAACGUCGUGAGACAGUUCGGUCCCUAUCUGCCGUGGGCGCUGGAGAAUUGAGGGGGGCUGCUCCUAGUACGAGAGGACCGGAGUGGACGCAUCACUGGUGUUCGGGUUGUCAUGCCAAUGGCACUGCCCGGUAGCUAAAUGCGGAAGAGAUAAGUGCUGAAAGCAUCUAAGCACGAAACUUGCCCCGAGAUGAGUUCUCCCUGAGACCUUGAGUCUCCUGAAGGAACGUUGAAGACGACGACGUUGAUAGGUCGGGUGUGUAAGCGCAGCGAUGCGUUGAGCUAACCGAUACUAAUGAACCGUGAGGCUUAACCUUACAACGCCGAAGCUGUU
Molecule: ribosomal RNA, 2932 nt
Filed under: Enterobacter cloacae
Lineage: Bacteria; Pseudomonadati; Pseudomonadota; Gammaproteobacteria; Enterobacterales; Enterobacteriaceae
Also listed under: 4 other names
Description: bacterial LSU rRNA
Rfam family: Bacterial large subunit ribosomal RNA
Source: RNAcentral